Molecule: ribosomal RNA, 253 nt
Filed under: uncultured bacterium
Lineage: Bacteria
Description: partial 16S ribosomal RNA
Rfam family: Bacterial small subunit ribosomal RNA
Source: RNAcentral
UACGAAGGGGGCUAGCGUUGUUCGGAAUUACUGGGCGUAAAGCGCACGUAGGCGGAUAUUUAAGUCAGGGGUGAAAUCCCGAGGCUCAACCUCGGAACUGCCUUUGAUACUGGGUGUCUUGAGUGUGAGAGAGGUGAGUGGAACUCCGAGUGUAGAGGUGAAAUUCGUAGAUAUUCGGAAGAACACCAGUGGCGAAGGCGACUCACUGGCUCAUUACUGACGCUGAGGCUCGAAAGCGUGGGGAGCAAACAGG